GUGCCAGCAGCCGCGGUAAUACGUAGGUGGCAAGCGUUAUCCGGAUUUAUUGGGCGUAAAGCGAGCGCAGGCGGUUUGAUAAGUCUGAUGUGAAAGCCUUUGGCUUAACCAAAGAAGUGCAUCGGAAACUGUCAGACUUGAGUGCAGAAGAGGACAGUGGAACUCCAUGUGUAGCGGUGGAAUGCGUAGAUAUAUGGAAGAACACCAGUGGCGAAGGCGGCUGUCUGGUCUGCAACUGACGCUGAGGCUCGAAAGCAUGGGUAGCGAACAGGAUUAGAUACCCUGGUAGUCCAUGCCGUAAACGAUGAGUGCUAGGUGUUGGACAGUGCCGCAGCUAACGCAUUAAGCACUCCGCCUGGGGAGUACGACCGCAAGGUUGAAACUCAAAGGAAUUGACGGGGGCCCGCACAAGCGUGGAGCAUGUGGUUUAAUUCGAAGCUACGCGAAGAACCUUACCAGGUCUUGACAUCCAGGUGGUGCAUGGUCGUCGUCAGCUCGUGUCGUGAGAUGUUGGGUUAAGUCCCGCAACGAGCGCAACCCUUGUUACUAGUUGCCACUCUAGUGAGACUG
This 570-nucleotide ribosomal RNA is filed under the name uncultured bacterium. RNAcentral describes it as "bacterial SSU rRNA". It matches the Rfam family "Bacterial small subunit ribosomal RNA", at positions 505 to 1151 of the family's 1533-position model. The record is from RNAcentral.